GAUGAACGCUGGCGGCGUGCCUAAUACAUGCAAGUCGAGCGAACGGACGAGAAGCUUGCUUCUCUGAUGUUAGCGGCGGACGGGUGAGUAACACGUGGAUAACCUACCUAUAAGACUGGGAUAACUUCGGGAAACCGGAGCUAAUACCGGAUAAUAUUUUGAACCGCAUGGUUCAAAAGUAAAAGACGGUCUUGCUGUCACUUAUAGAUGGAUCCGCGCUGCAUUAGCUAGUUGGUAAGGUAACGGCUUACCAAGGCAACGAUGCAUAGCCGACCUGAGAGGGUGGUCGGCCACACUGGAACUGAGACACGGUCCCGACUCCUACGGGAGGCAGCAGUAGGGAAUCUUCCGCAAUGGGCGAAAGCCUGACGGAGCAACGCCGCGUGAGUGAUGAAGGUCUUCGGAUCGUAAAACUCUGUUAUUAGGGAAGAACAUAUGUGUAAGUAACUGUGCACAUCUUGACGGUACCUAAUCAGAAAGCCACGGCUAACUACGUG
RNAcentral lists this ribosomal RNA (497 nucleotides) under uncultured bacterium. Its description in RNAcentral is "partial 16S ribosomal RNA". It matches the Rfam family "Bacterial small subunit ribosomal RNA", at positions 28 to 507 of the family's 1533-position model. The record is from RNAcentral.